CUGCAUCAUGAUUUACAUUUGAGUGAGUGGCGAACUGGUGAGUAACACGUGGGAAACCUGCCCAGAAGCGGGGGAUAACACCUGGAAACAGAUGCUAAUACCGCAUAACAACUUGGACCGCAUGGUCCGAGUUUGAAAGAUGGCUUCGGCUAUCACUUUUGGAUGGUCCCGCGGCGUAUAGCUAGAUGGUGAGGUAACGGCUCACCAUGGCAAUGAUACGUAGCCGACCUGAGAGGGUAAUCGGCCACAUUGGGACUGAGACACGGCCCAAACUCCUACGGGAGGCAGCAGUAGGGAAUCUUCCACAAUGGACGAAAGUCUGAUGGAGCAACGCCGCGUGAGUGAAGAAGGGUUUCGGCUCGUAAAACUCUGUUGUUAAAGAAGAACAUAUCUGAGAGUAACUGUUCAGGUAUUGACGGUAUUUAACCAGAAAGCCACGGCUAACUACGUGCCAGCAGCCGCGGUAAUACGUAGGUGGCAAGCGUUGUCCGGAUUUAUUGGGCGUAAAGCGAGCGCAGGCGGUUUUUUAAGUCUGAUGUGAAAGCCUUCGGCUCAACCGAAGAAGUGCAUCGGAAACUGGGAAACUUGAGUGCAGAAGAGGACAGUGGAACUCCAUGUGUAGCGGUGAAAUGCGUAGAUAUAUGGAAGAACACCAGUGGCGAAGGCGGCUGUCUGGUCUGUAACUGACGCUGAGGCUCGAAAGUAUGGGUAGCAAACAGGAUUAGAUACCCUGGUAGUCCAUACCGUAAACGAUGAAUGCUAAGUGUUGGAGGGUUUCCGCCCUUCAGUGCUGCAGCUAACGCAUUAAGCAUUCCGCCUGGGGAGUACGGCCGCAAGGCUGAAACUCAAAGGAAUUGACGGGGGCCCGCACAAGCGGUGGAGCAUGUGGUUUAAUUCGAAGCUACGCGAAGAACCUUACCAGGUCUUGACAUACUAUGCAAAUCUAAGAGAUUAGACGUUCCCUUCGGGGACAUGGAUACAGGUGGUGCAUGGUGUCGUC
RNAcentral lists this ribosomal RNA (1000 nucleotides) under Lactiplantibacillus plantarum. RNAcentral describes it as "bacterial SSU rRNA". It matches the Rfam family "Bacterial small subunit ribosomal RNA", at positions 67 to 1056 of the family's 1533-position model. Lineage: Bacteria; Bacillati; Bacillota; Bacilli; Lactobacillales; Lactobacillaceae. The record is from RNAcentral.